This 122-nucleotide ribosomal RNA is filed under the name Petromyzon marinus (sea lamprey). Lineage: Eukaryota; Metazoa; Chordata; Hyperoartia; Petromyzontiformes; Petromyzontidae. The record is from RNAcentral.
CGUGCUCAUCGGAGGUGCGGGAUGCCCCCGAUCUCGUCACGUCUCGGAAGAUAAGUGGGCUGAAGCCUGAGUUGGCACUUGGAUAGGAGACUGCCUGGGAAUAACGACAGGUAUUUGUAGGC